RNAcentral lists this ribosomal RNA (492 nucleotides) under uncultured bacterium. RNAcentral's name for it is "bacterial SSU rRNA". It matches the Rfam family "Bacterial small subunit ribosomal RNA", at positions 28 to 514 of the family's 1533-position model. The record is from RNAcentral.
GAUGAACGCUAGCGGCAGGCCUAAUACAUGCAAGUCGAACGGCAAGAUUUGGUAGCAAUACUAAAUCCUAGAGUGGCGCACGGGUGAGUAACGCGUACAUGACAUACCUAUAAGCGAGGGAUAGCAUUGGGAAACUGGUAGUAACCCCUCAUGUGAUUAUUUGUAAUAAAGGUAAAUAAUUAAAACUACGGUGCUUAUAGAUUGGUGUGCGUCUGAUUAGCUAGUUGGCGAGGUAACGGCUCACCAAGGCGACGAUCAGUAGGGGGCGUGAGAGCGUGAACCCCCACACGGGUACUGAGACACGGACCCGACUCCUACGGGAGGCAGCAGUAAGGAAUAUUGGUCAAUGGAGGGAACUCUGAACCAGCCAUGCCGCGUGCAGGAUGAAAGCCCUCUGGGUUGUAAACUGCUUUUUAACAGGGAAGAAAAUGCUAUACGUGAUAUAGUACUGACGGUACCUGAGAAUAAGCACGGCUAACUCCGUGCCAGCAG